UACGUAGGUCCCGAGCGUUGUCCGGAUUUAUUGGGCGUAAAGCGAGCGCAGGUGGUUUAUUAAGUCUGGUGUAAAAGGCAGUGGUUCAACCAUUGUAUGCAUUGGAAACUGGUAGACUUGAGUGCAGGAGAGGAGAGUGGAAUUCCAUGUGUAGCGGUGAAAUGCGUAGAUAUAUGGAGGAACACCGGUGGCGAAAGCGGCUCUCUGGCCUGUAACUGACACUGAGGCUCGAAAGCGUGAGGAGCAAACAGG
RNAcentral lists this ribosomal RNA (252 nucleotides) under uncultured bacterium. Its description in RNAcentral is "partial 16S ribosomal RNA". It matches the Rfam family "Bacterial small subunit ribosomal RNA", at positions 524 to 776 of the family's 1533-position model. The record is from RNAcentral.